Molecule: ribosomal RNA, 387 nt
Filed under: uncultured bacterium
Lineage: Bacteria
Description: bacterial SSU rRNA
Rfam family: Bacterial small subunit ribosomal RNA
Source: RNAcentral
AUUGAACGCUGGCGGCAUGCCUUACACAUGCAAGUCGAACGGCAGCACGGGGGCAACCCUGGUGGCGAGUGGCGAACGGGUGAGUAACGCAUCGGAAUGUACCCAGUAGUGGGGGGAUAACUAGUCGAAAGACUAGCUAAUACCGCAUACGCACUGAGGUGGAAAGCGGGGGAUCGCAAGACCUCGCGCUAUUGGAGCAGCCGAUGUCCGAUUAGGUAGUUGGUGGGGUAAAGGCCUACCAAGCCUGCGAUCGGUAACUGGUCUGAGAGGACGACCAGUCACACUGGGACUGAGACACGGCCCAGACUCCUACGGGAGGCAGCAGUGGGGAAUUUUGGACAAUGGGCGCAAGCCUGAUCCAGCAAUGCCGCGUGUGUGAAGAAGGCC